CUCCAAAAUAAAUAGUGCAAAUUCAAACUCCAAUUAUUUUACUGAUCAUUUCUAUGAUAUAGAGAAGCCGUGAUGGUCUACCAAGAAUAAAGUAGUAAUUACACAUAGCUAAUCUUAAAUUACAAUUUUAUAAACAUAUGUGUCGUCCUUCCUCCCGUUCCUUCUUCUAGAAUUCUCUUUCACUAUUACUUUGCUAAUCAUCUGCCAUUUGCUAAUGAGUUCUAGCCACAAUUAUCUGCCAUUACUAGUAGAUCUUCCUUGCUAACCUUCUUUUAUCCUUAAUAUCUUCUUUCAGGAAUUUUACUCUUUUUUUUUCUCUAAUCAAAAUUUGGACUCAACUCUGUGAUUCACAAUUGGGGAUAAACUUGUCUGCUGCUUCUUGCUGAAUGAACUCUUGGAGCAGCAAUCGUCUACCAGGAUGGAGUAUUCUUUGAGCUUCGAACUGCUUGACGGGAAUAUUGAGGUAUAACCUUUCAGUUGUUAUUUUUGAAGGGUUUAUAUGUUAUUUUUUCCUUUUUAAUUUAUCAUAAUUAGUCAGUCCAUGGUCGACUCUCUGCUAAUUUUGAGGUAGAACUUUUUUAAGGUUUAAAAUAAGUGAAAUUUACUAAUCGAUGAUUUAAAAAUUUGAGAUAUAACCCCCUUUUAGAUUUUUGUUUGUACUGUCGGACUACAUUGCCCAUUGAUUUCUCAUCUAGAUAGAGUUAUCUAGUAAAUGUGCUCGUGUGACGUAGCAGGUAUCCCAUAAAAUUAGUCGAGGUACACACAAGCUAAUCGGAACGCCAUUGUUAUUUUUUUAAAAAAGAACUUGAAGUUGCUACUUCCUUUAAGAUUUGUAUGCUACUCAUUAUUUGUUGACAAGGCGCCCAUAGCUGCCACCUUCUGAUCUUGUAUAUGAAACUCCCCCAGGAAGCGAGCCUAAUAUUUGAAUCUUGAAGACUGAUUUACAAAUGGAACUGAGUUAUCACGGCUCUUGAAUAGAUCAAGCAAAGGUAGAAUGGAGAUCUUUAAAAAAAAUGCUCAAUGACACUGCAAGUAAAAUAAAAUAAAAUAAAUAACAUGAAGAAAAUAUUAGCCAGUACCUUUGUCAUUCAUGUAAUUUGGUAUAGUUAGCAUAACUGAGAUGCCUCAACUGAACUGUAUGCUACAUUUGCUGAUGGCUAUUUAUUUAGAUGCCCAACUAAAAUAAGAUAGAAAUACUGUAAAGCUAAAGUGGUCGACCAAGGGUAAUUUUGACAUUUCAAACCUUAGGUAGAAUUGAAAACCCCCUCAUUCAUUCUCUGUUUUGCAUUUUGUAUCUCUCAAAUUCAUUUUUACAUUCUUCAUCUAGAGUAUUCUAAGUUCAGAGUCCCUGAUAGCCCCAUCUAGCUUUCUUCUUCGUCGUCUUCUUUUAGAGAGGUAAUGAUUAUCUCUCUGCUAUUUACUUAUAGUUAUAGAUUACUGAAGUUCAAAGAUGUGUAUUUCUAGCCAAGUUGGUGGCUACUGCUCCAGUUAAACUUGGGGAAAGAAACAGUGAGAUCAUUUCGUGACAAUUUGAGAGUUUCCAAAUUGGGUAGGAGGAAAGGUACAUGGUUAUAAAUUGAUUAUUUUACCAUGGGAUCUUUUUUCAAUUUGUGGUUAUGACAAUGAAGCUAACUUCCUAUAGGUCCUUUUAUUGAUAAAUCAAAGGAGUAGGGCUUCAAUUUUGUUUGCUUUAUCUUUUUGAGCAAUUCAAUAACUCCACAUCAACUGUAUCGAGUGACAUUUUCCAUUCAAAUAUAAUUAACAAAAGAAUUCAAAAAAGAUUGUAUUGUACAAUUUUGUUUCACCAAUAUUUCUUGAGUAGAUGCUCUUAAACCGUUUGAUACUGUAUAUGCUCAUCAUUCCAAUAUAUAUCAUUUUGCACAGUUGGUUAAACAAUCCAAUUCACUGAAAUUGAAUCAUCCUAAAGAAUUUAGUGUUUGACUGAAAGGAAUGGAACUUGGGCCUAACUCAGAGGUGAGGAUUGCCCAAGCCAUAUAAGGAGACCAAGGACCUCAAAUCCCUCCGAUGUGGGACAACUCAACGGAAACAGUUCCCGUUUCUACAUAACAACCGUUUUUCAAGUCGAGUUUAAUAUCGAGGUGGCUUGUAUAGUUUUCUGGAGCGUGGACAACAUAAAUGGGGGCCCAACAUCGAUAACAAAUUGGGAUGAGCUGGCUCUGAUACCAUGAAAAGAAUGGACCUUGGGCCUAACUCAACCCUAAAAGCUAGCUUAUNNNNNNNNNNNNNNNNNNNNNNNNNNNNNNNNNNNNNNNNNNNNNNNNNNNNNNNNNNNNNNNNNNNNNNNNNNNNNNNNNNNNNNNNNNNNNNNNNNNNNNNNNNNNNNNNNNNNCUAAAAGCUAGCUUAUGAGGUGAGGAUUGCCCAAGCCAUAUAAGGAGACCAAGGACCUCAAAUCCCUCCGAUGUGGGACAACUCAACAUUGACUUCUUGUUUGGAUAAACUAUUAGAUAUUGAUUAUUGCUAUAGUGAUAUCAGAAAUUAGUACAUUCAUUCCAACCUUCAUGGUUGGCCUGGUGGCAAUUGACUUGAACCUUGGGGUUUGCUCUGUUUCAAGGUCUCAAGUUCGAAAUAUACUGGGUGUAAAUAAUUUCUGAGGGCCAUCAAACUAGAUAAAACCUGAAUUAACCGUUGUGCACUUGUUGGAAAUUCUUUGUCGAGGGCCUGUGCACCCCCGGAUUAGUAGGGCUCGAAAAGACUCGGGCACCCAGUGCAAAUAAAAAAAGUAGUACAUUCAUUUUUCAAUUGUAUUUUCAGGUAGGUGACAGUUUCAGUUUUAUGUCAGAGUUUCGUUUACGUUAUAUACAGAUAUACCUUUCUAUAGUAGCAUAAAGAGGGGUGACAAAAGGUUAUCUUUUAUUUCCUAUUUUUUCUUAGUUAAACGACUGUAAUUUAUAUUAUUUUACUCUGAUUUGCUUUACAGUUCACGUCUCCAAGUAUAGGUGAAUGUUACUCAAAAUAGUUCUCAUUUUGCUAAAUAGAUAUUAAACCCCCAUGAGUUACUCUUAAGGGUUCAAUUACUUUGUCUUUUACCUGAUCCAUUUAUAAUUGACCAACUUUUUACUACAUGGGAAUAUUACUCAAAAUAGUUCUUAUUUUGCUUAAUAGAUAUUGAGCCCCCCACGAGUUACUCUUAAGGGUUCAAUUACUUUGUCUUUUACCUGAUCCAUUUAAUUUGUGUUAGGAUAUUUUAUGACAGGUAUGGAUUUUUGUAAAGCACUCUACUUACUACUUAUUUCUGUGUGUGCUAAAAAAGGAAAUUUCAAUUUGUGUCCUCCAGUUUGUAUGGCUUCUAUAUUGUUAAAACUGAAUAUGUGGUUGUGGGCAGACUUAGGGAUACAAAAGAUAUAUAAAUAAUGAAAAGAAGUGGAGAAGGGGAAGAGGAUCGAGUCUAUGGUUGGGGAGAAGAUAGUCUUGGCAACCAAGGGCAUCAUUUACUUUAAAAAGACUAGAUGUAAUGCUAAAAGUUUUUAAACAAUCAUACAGCCUUGGCCUAUUUUACAAAUAAAAUUUUCAAUCGCUUAAUAAUGUGGUGUAUACUUAAUUCAAGAUCCGUGUAUUGUGGUACUUGGAGCAAGCAGAACGGCAAGACAAAUUAAAGCGAGCUGGCAAGACCAAAGUAAACUGGCAAGAUCAAGUAGAGCAAGCUACUUAUGAACUGUUAGAGUCUUGCAUUUCUUCCUCCUAUAAGAAAUACUUAUUAUACUUCAAACGAUCUAAGAGAAGUAGAGUUGUGAGACACUUGAUGUAAAAUUUAUGAUUGUGAAGAUCAGUAUACGUGUAUUGUGGUACUUGGAGCAAGCAGUCAGGAACUUAAACGGCAAGACAAAUUAAAGCGAGCUGGCAAGACCAAAGUAAACUGGCAAGAUCAACUAGAGCAAGCUGCUUGUGAACUGUUAGAGUCUUGUAUUUCUUUCUCCUAUAAGAAAUACUUAUGAUACCUCAAACGAUCUAAGAGAAAUAGAGUUGUGAGACACUUGACCUAAAAUUUAUGAUUGUACAUGGUUUACUUGCUUCUUAUUCAAUUUGUUGCCGCAUCUUCAUAUAUGAUCUUUUGCUCACAAAAGCAAUAGGAAAAUUUUGAAAAUAAAAUAAAAGACUAUUGCUUUCAGUUAACUUAUAUUUAUAAUGAUUGUACAAAUCUAACCAAUUUGAUUCUAUACAUGCGGGAAAUACAAACUAUUAAGUUUAUUGUUUGAGACAUAGAGUUGAAAUAGAGAUGACUUCUCAUAUGAAAUCAAGCAAACUUAAGGUCCAGCCCUUCUUAGCAUACCGCAAGAUAUUGAUAGGUUUAAAUUGAAACGGUAACUACAGUAUUGAAUAGGAUGAUAUCUUUAUAUUUGCAUAAACCUUAUACUUAUUCUUAUCCAUCAUGAUAUAAAAGACAAGCCCUCCACACUUUUUUCGCGAUGUUGUGGAGUUGCGAAUAGUUUUCACAUUUAUGGAGUCGUCAAGUAUAAACUUCUAAUGCAGGUUGCAGAUGCUUCAGAAUAUAACUGAUGUACAUAUUCAGCUUCACCCUUAUGGAUCCUUGAAACACGGACUUCAGUGACUAUAUUCAAGAUAUGAGAUGUAAGGUUAGAUAUUUUUUUACUUCAAAAACUUCAUAAGUUACUCAUGGCACUCCUCUGGAGUUAUACAAGUACUAUUACUAUUUUCUUUUCUUUUCGUCUCUGUGCUUUUUGUCCCCUUUUUAUUGUCAACCUCCAAAGCUUAUGUUGUAAGAUUUGAUGGUCAUGCAAGUAUAAUGCUAUUUCUUUCGAAUAAGAUAAUUAUUUCUUAGCAAUGAAUAUGUUGUUAUGAAUUAAACUUUUGAUUAUCCUUCUUUUAUCAACAUAAGUAGGAUGUAUGAUUAAAAUUAUAAGUGAUAUGUUUAGUUUAUGUGGUGAUACUAUAAGAUUGCAGCUCAAGAUGGUGUUAAACUUUUUGACUUGUGAGAACUUCAGAUAUUUUCUUUCUUUUUAUGAGAAUAUAUCAACUAUAGCCAACGAUUCUGUUAUAUAAAGAAGUUAAAAUAUGUUCGAAUAUUAUUGACAAUUUUUUAGGGCCAUUUUCCUUUUUCAAUUAUGGUAGCGUUUUACAUAACAAUAAAUUUUAAGGCAAUAUAAAGUGUAUUGAUACAAAAAUUCUUAGGAAGGGAGCUAAACAAAAAAUCACACUGGGUUUAAUAUGUUCACAUGUUUUACUCUCUUAUUUUUAUGGUUUCUUAAUUAGUCAUACAUAGCUUACAAGGCUAUUUAAGCUUGUUCGAUAAUAAAUUAAGCAUGAAUGUGUAAGCUUCAAAAAAUUGAUAAAUUCAAUAGAAAACUCCGAGAUUAGUGAACUUUUCACUUUUUGUGUGCAUCUGGAUCUAUCUUAAUAAGCAUGGAUUGGUGAAUCAAUCUAUAUUUUAGAUAUUAUACUUGACAAUUUUGAGGAAGACAAAACUAUUUAUCUAUCCUAUCAUUUUUUUUCUUGGUUUGCGUUAUUAUUAAUAAGAAUUUUUUCAGUUGAUCUUUUUUUCUUAAUCUUAGCAAUGGAAAUAUUAAUUGCUUUAGGUUAGUCUGAUCAAAGAACAACUACCAGCAAGUUGCACUAUAUUUAGCACCAUAAUUGGCAUAAAUUCCUUCUUUUAUUGUCUACUUGAGCUAAAUAUUGAGUAUAUAGAUGCUUCACAUUAUUUCCUUUUAGUUUUCUGGUUUCAGUGUCGAGUAUCUUUUAUUCUAUGGGAGUUGUUUGAUUAUUAACUUCAUUUAAGUUUUAGGAGAUAUAAAUCGUAAUGUAGCUAGAACUAACUAAAAAUAACUAUACCGAUUAAUCUAAUUCUCUUUGUAUCUGAUGAAUAAUAUUUUAAAGAGUACUAAACCUUGGAUAUAAACAAGAACAUAAGUUGUAUCUCCAAGUUUGGUUUAUAAGUAUUGUAAUGGUUUCUUUUCUUAUCAGAGAGACUAUUGGUGCAUUUGAAACCUUAACUUGAAGGCUGAAUAGAAAAGCUCCUUCAACAUUAAUCCAUUGGAGUGGACUGAACUUACUAACUCAAGCAAACCUCCAAUAUAUUGGUGAAAAUGUAUGCUUAAGACAACAUGUGCCGAGAGGCAUUCAGUGAAGUAAAUGUAUCUGCGUCGAGCAGUUGGUACAUGUACCAUUACUUGUACAUUGUUUGUGCAUGUUUCUAAGAUUAUUCAAAUUCAAAGGGUGGCACCUGCCUCUGAUACUGUAAAAAAAGUUAUUAUUAGCUUAGAUCAACGAGAAAGUAAAAAAGCAACGUAGAGUUGUGAGUAAUACAAUUUCAAUGUGUAAUUUUGAUAUAGUUUGAAACGGUAAGUAGGUGUAUAAAAAAUGAGAACCUUCGGUCCACACACUUUAAAUAUAGUUUGUUUGUGUUUGGUAGCUCUCGGAAUCAAAAUGAAAGUCUACAAAUAAUAAAUUCCUUAAAUCCCCUACUUCUAUUUGUAUCCCCUCUACAUCAAGCUUUUUUACCAAAGGACGUCAUGUUUAUCAGUAAACAGAACAAAACGUUAGCGAUAUUGGGCCCGUGUUCAGCACGUGUGUGCCUCAUCUAGUAAACCUAAUAUAAGUCUUCAACUUCAAAUAUGGUAAUUUCAUCUCACGAAUUGAGCCAUUUGAAAUUAUUCUUUUGUUCCCUCAAUCUGCAUUGAUCCAAUUUAUGAAGUAAACAAGUACAUGUAAAGUUCGUCGAGGUAGUUAACUUCUUUCUCUCCAAGUUCCAUUCUUCCUUCAACUAAAUGCACUUUCUAAUGCUAAUAGUUGAUAUUUGAAUCAUUAAGAUAUGUCACGAUUGAUGGACAAAAAGAUACAAACUUACAUUUUUCUUCCACUAUUUUAGAAUAUUAAAAUCAUCCUAAUUAUCGUAAGUAAAAAUUAAGAGUGUUAAGUUCAAAAUAAAAUUUGUGUUUGUGACUAAUAUCUUAUUGAAAAUAUUAAAAGUACCGAAAUAUUUGAAAGAUGGAGUAGCGAUAAUAGUCUAAGAAAUCUUUAAGUGCGUGCGAUAAUGAUGAUAAAGGUUACACUUCAUAAUUUUUUCGAAAUGUU
This 7048-nucleotide long non-coding RNA is filed under the name Nicotiana benthamiana. RNAcentral describes it as "long non-coding RNA (NBEN_LNC036956)". Lineage: Eukaryota; Viridiplantae; Streptophyta; Magnoliopsida; Solanales; Solanaceae. The record is from RNAcentral.